CCAGACUCCUACGGGAGGCAGCAGUGGGGGAUAUUGCACAAUGGGGGGAACCCUGAUGCAGCGACGCCGCGUGGGUGAAGGAGCGUUUCGGCGCGUAAAGCCCUAUCGGCAGGGAAGAAGAUGACGGUACCUGACCAAGAAGCCCCGGCUCACUACGUGCCAGCAGCCGCGGGAAUACGUAGGGGGCAAGCGUUAUCCGGAUUUACUGGGUGUAAAGGGGGCGCAGACGGCAAUGCAAGCCAGGAGUGAAAGCCCGGGGCCCAACCCCGGGACUGCUUUUGAAACUGCGCUGCUAGAUUGCGGGAGAGGCAAGUGGAAUUCCUAGUGUAGCGGUGAAAUGCGUAGAUAUUAGGAGGAACACCAGUGGCGAAGGCGGCUUGCUGGACCGUGAAUGACGCUGAGGCUCGAAAGCGUGGGGAGCAAACAGGAUUAGAUACCCGAGUA
Molecule: ribosomal RNA, 444 nt
Filed under: uncultured bacterium
Lineage: Bacteria
Description: bacterial SSU rRNA
Rfam family: Bacterial small subunit ribosomal RNA
Source: RNAcentral